AUUGAACGCUGGCGGCAGGCCUAACACAUGCAAGUCGAACGGCAGCACGGAACUUGCUCCCUGUUUCCGAGGGGGACGGGCGAGUGAUGUCUAGGAACAUGCGUGGUUGUGUGGGGGAACGGCCGGAAAAAGGCGCACUUACCCCAUAACCGCUGAGGGCCUACGUGGGGGAUCAUCGGACCUCCCGCUCUUACGUGAUCCUAGGUCGGAUUAGCUAGUUGGUGGGGUAAAGGCCUACCAAGGCGACGAUCCGUAGCUGGUCUGAGAGGAUGAUCAGUCACACUGGAACUGAGACACGGUCCAGACUCCUACGGGAGGCAGCAGUGGGGAAUAUUGGACAAUGGGCGAAAGCCUGAUCCAGCCAUGCCGCGUGUGUGAAGAAGGCCUUCGGAUUGUAAAGCACUUUUGGUUGGAAAGAAAAGCAGUAAGUUAAUACCUUGCUGUUUUGACGGUACCAAAAGAAUAAGCACCGGCUAACUUCGUG
Molecule: ribosomal RNA, 484 nt
Filed under: uncultured bacterium
Lineage: Bacteria
Description: partial 16S ribosomal RNA
Rfam family: Bacterial small subunit ribosomal RNA
Source: RNAcentral